CCUUCUUAGAAAUCUCCGUGUCUGUAUGUCUCUAACACCUAUUCUUGUUUUAUAUUUUAUAUCAACAGGUGCAUGAUGAAAUCCCUAAUUGCCCUCUGUUCCUGUUUGUGCAUAUUUAAUUCAUACACCCUUUCAUACAAGCAAAAUCCUGUUAAAUCUGAUGAUUUGUUUGACGAACAGAAAUAUUUUGA
Molecule: long non-coding RNA, 191 nt
Organism: Octopus sinensis (East Asian common octopus)
Lineage: Eukaryota; Metazoa; Mollusca; Cephalopoda; Octopoda; Octopodidae
Exons: 2
Source: RefSeq, a predicted model, not a curated record